RNAcentral lists this small RNA (18 nucleotides) under Arabidopsis thaliana (thale cress). RNAcentral's name for it is "ATSL062230". Lineage: Eukaryota; Viridiplantae; Streptophyta; Magnoliopsida; Brassicales; Brassicaceae. The record is from RNAcentral.
AAAAAAGCAAAAAAAAAG